AUGGUGAAGCAACAAACAAUGGUAUCAUUUUUUAAAAGAAAGAGAGGUCGGGAAAGUGUUGAACAAGAACAACCAUCAGCUCACACCACUCCUAGUUCUCUGGCAUUGGUGGAGUUUGUGGAUCAAAGACAACAGCAAGAUGAUGAUGAUGAACAGGAAGAUGAAGAUGAAAUGGAUGAUGUGGAUUGGAGCCAAUAUGAAGAAGAACCAAAACAAAGCCAAGACAAAAAAGAAGAACCUGUCAUUUUUCGAGGCAUUGAAUUUUUGGAGCGAGAUCCUUCAUUACGCCCACAAGUUUGGCAGUACCCUCCGAACCAGAGAGAUAAAGUGAGGCUAGCAUACUUAAGGUUGGGUCCGAUGCAACCCAAAUUAAAGAAUAAGAAGUAUAGAGCUUCUGUUGUUGGAUUGCAAGGACGUAAAAGAAGAUUUCAGUAUGACUAUUUCUGUAGUUUUCCAUCAUGGUUGGAGUAUUCAGUGGACAACCAUCGUGCAUAUUGUUUCCAUUGCUAUCUCUUUAGCAAAAAUAGAAAGAAAAGAAGUGGUUAUGAUGUCUUCACAACACAAGGUUUUAAUACAUGGAAGAAAGUUCAUGAUGGAAAGAAGUGUUCAUUCUUAACCCAUGAAUGA
RNAcentral lists this ribosomal RNA (627 nucleotides) under Triticum aestivum (bread wheat). RNAcentral describes it as "partial small subunit ribosomal RNA". Lineage: Eukaryota; Viridiplantae; Streptophyta; Magnoliopsida; Poales; Poaceae. The record is from RNAcentral.